CAACUUGAGAGUUUGAUUCUGGCUCAGAACGAACGCUGGCGGCAUGCCUAACACAUGCAAGUCGAACGAGACCUUCGGGUCUAGUGGCGCACGGGUGCGUAACGCGUGGGAAUCUGCCCUUGGG
This 124-nucleotide ribosomal RNA is filed under the name Sphingomonas sp. RNAcentral describes it as "partial 16S ribosomal RNA". It matches the Rfam family "Bacterial small subunit ribosomal RNA", at positions 1 to 136 of the family's 1533-position model. The record is from RNAcentral. Lineage: Bacteria; Pseudomonadati; Pseudomonadota; Alphaproteobacteria; Sphingomonadales; Sphingomonadaceae.